UGAGGUUGAAACACCAGUCCCCGUAUGAUCACCGAUGUUAAACAAAACCAAGCCUGGUCAGUACCUUAAUGGGUGGCCGCUUGGGAGGACCAGGUACUGUAA
Acanthosepion pharaonis is the source of this 102-nucleotide non-coding RNA. NCBI's taxonomy places the organism in Eukaryota, Metazoa, Mollusca, Cephalopoda, Sepiida, Sepiidae. The record is from the annotation of a GenBank genome assembly.